This is a long non-coding RNA of Ostrea edulis (European flat oyster), 475 nucleotides long. RefSeq lists it as uncharacterized. The record is from RefSeq and is a predicted model, not a curated record. NCBI's taxonomy places the organism in Eukaryota, Metazoa, Mollusca, Bivalvia, Ostreida, Ostreidae. The transcript is spliced from 3 exons.
UUUCAAUACUGUUUAUGUAGUCAUUGAGAGUUUAAACAAAGUUUCUUCUGAGAAGAGGAAUUCGAUGGAUGCAUUCAACAUGGACAACGAAAUCAUAAUUUCGUUUGCAUCAUCCUAAGGACCAGUGCAAGUUGAAAUGGGCUUCCAGCCAACAACUUCAACAGCAAUUUGCCAUGAAAAUCAGCAAGAAAGGUACUUCAUUUACAUUGAUGAUGUCAUAUCCCCAUGACCCCACAACUUUACAGGUUACAGAGAAAAUUUAAGAACUUCUGCAAAAUGUGGGACUUGGAUAGAAUCAAUAAUGUAUUUGUGAGCCCAGAGCAAUGGAUAUAUUGUGCAACAUACUAAAGUGUGAAUUUAAUGGAAAACAAGUACAUGUACUCAUGUAUUACAUGUCUUUUUUAAAGACAAUAAUAUUGUAUAAAUAUAGAGGAAGUGUCAUUGUUGAUUAUUCUAAGUUUUUGAUAUAUCAAAA